This 465-nucleotide ribosomal RNA is filed under the name Vreelandella stevensii. Its description in RNAcentral is "partial 16S ribosomal RNA". It matches the Rfam family "Bacterial small subunit ribosomal RNA", at positions 338 to 795 of the family's 1533-position model. Lineage: Bacteria; Pseudomonadati; Pseudomonadota; Gammaproteobacteria; Oceanospirillales; Halomonadaceae. The record is from RNAcentral.
CCUACGGGCGGCAGCAGUGGGGAAUAUUGGACAAUGGGGGCAACCCUGAUCCAGCCAUGCCGCGUGUGUGAAGAAGGCCCUCGGGUUGUAAAGCACUUUCAGUGAGGAAGAACGCCUGGUGGUUAAUACCCAUCAGGAAAGACAUCACUCACAGAAGAAGCACCGGCUAACUCCGUGCCAGCAGCCGCGGUAAUACGGAGGGUGCGAGCGUUAAUCGGAAUUACUGGGCGUAAAGCGCGCGUAGGUGGCUUGAUAAGCCGGUUGUGAAAGCCCCGGGCUCAACCUGGGAACGGCAUCCGGAACUGUCAAGCUAGAGUGCAGGAGAGGAAGGUAGAAUUCCCAGUGUAGCGGUGAAAUGCGUAGAGAUCGGGAGGAAUACCAGUGGCGAAGGCGGCCUUCUGGACUGACACUGACACUGAGGUGCGAAAGCGUGGGUAGCAAACAGGAUUAGAUACCCUUGUAGUC